Molecule: ribosomal RNA, 464 nt
Filed under: uncultured bacterium
Lineage: Bacteria
Description: partial 16S ribosomal RNA
Rfam family: Bacterial small subunit ribosomal RNA
Source: RNAcentral
GACGAACGCUGGCGGCGUGCUUAACACAUGCAAGUCGAACGGUAAGGCCCCUUCGGGGGUCCACGAGUGGCGAACGGGUGAGUAACACGUGAGCAACCUGCCCUUGACUCUGGAAUAACAGUUGGAAACAGCUGCUAAUACUGGAUAUUCAUCGUCUCCUUCCUGGGGGUGGUGGAAAGCCCCGGCGGUCAGGGAUGGGCUCGCGGCCUAUCAGCUUGUUGGUGAGGUAAUGGCUCACCAAGGCUUCGACGGGUAGCCGGCCUGAGAGGGCGACCGGCCACACUGGGACUGAGAUACGGCCCAGACUCCUACGGGAGGCAGCAGUGGGGAAUAUUGCACAAUGGGCGCAAGCCUGAUGCAGCAACGCCGCGUGCGGGAUGACGGCCUUCGGGUUGUAAACCGCUUUCAGUAGGGACGAAGGGUGACUGACGGUACCUACAGAAGAAGGACCGGCUAACUACGUG